AAAAAGGGCUUUUGUCAUGAGAGGCACAUGUAGGGCAACUCAAUUGCUCUUCCUGCAAAAUCGACAUCAAGAGAUUUUGGAAACAUAAUUGUUUGGUAGUUGGACAGCUGGUGAUUUUGGUCCUGACAAAUUUACUCAUUGUCCAU
Molecule: small nuclear RNA, 146 nt
Filed under: Propithecus coquereli (Coquerel's sifaka)
Lineage: Eukaryota; Metazoa; Chordata; Mammalia; Primates; Indriidae
Description: U11 spliceosomal RNA (ENSPCOG00000009571.1)
Rfam family: U11 spliceosomal RNA
Source: Rfam by way of RNAcentral